UGCCCCAUGGCUGAGUUGGUUACAGCGUCCGACUGUUACUCCCACCGACGGUCUGGAAAGCAAUCGGAAGGUCGUGAGUUCGAGCCUCACUGGGGCAG
Non-coding RNA from Marasmius tenuissimus, 98 nucleotides. The record is from the annotation of a GenBank genome assembly. NCBI's taxonomy places the organism in Eukaryota, Fungi, Basidiomycota, Agaricomycetes, Agaricales, Marasmiaceae.